Molecule: long non-coding RNA, 285 nt
Organism: Chinchilla lanigera (long-tailed chinchilla)
Lineage: Eukaryota; Metazoa; Chordata; Mammalia; Rodentia; Chinchillidae
Exons: 2
Source: RefSeq, a predicted model, not a curated record
ACUUCCUGCUUGCUUAUCCUAUAUAAGCCCUAGACCACCAGAGAUCAGGGUCUGAUAUUUUGGGAAUGAUCUCAAUCAAUAUCUGUCAAUCAAGGUUGAAUCCAGACCAAAAGAAAUUAAAUGAAGCAAAACAGACACUACCUUCUUCUAAAGUCUGCAACUCAGAAUGAAGAUUUAACAAGAAAGACUCCUAAUGUGUGCAGUGACUUAGCAACAACUUUCAAGAAGCAGAAAGCAUAGGAGAUGACAGGAAAAAUAUACAGAGCUACUACUUAAAAAAAAAAA